Molecule: transfer RNA, 65 nt
Filed under: Stichophanes ningshaanensis (Ningshaan kukri snake)
Lineage: Eukaryota; Metazoa; Chordata; Lepidosauria; Squamata; Colubridae
Description: tRNA-Trp
Source: RNAcentral
AGAAGCUUAAGUUAUGCAAACUAGGGACCUUCAAAGCCCCCAAAAAAGACCCCCUUUAGUUUCUG